This 275-nucleotide ribosomal RNA is filed under the name uncultured Staphylococcus sp. RNAcentral describes it as "partial 16S ribosomal RNA". It matches the Rfam family "Bacterial small subunit ribosomal RNA", at positions 86 to 354 of the family's 1533-position model. Lineage: Bacteria; Bacillati; Bacillota; Bacilli; Caryophanales; Staphylococcaceae. The record is from RNAcentral.
CUGACGUUAGCGGCGGACGGGUGAGUAACACGUGGGUAACCUACCUAUAAGACUGGGAUAACUCCGGGAAACCGGGGCUAAUACCGGAUAANACAUGAAACCGCAUGGUUUCAUGAUGAAAGACGGUUUUGCUGUCACUUAUAGAUGGACCCGCGGCGUAUUAGCUAGUUGGUAAGGUAACGGCUUACCAAGGCAACGAUACGUAGCCGACCUGAGAGGGUGAUCGGCCACACUGGAACUGAGACACGGUCCAGACUCCUACGGGAGGCAGCAGA